CAGGGAGACAACAAAAUGUUUAAUAUUAUUUUGUCACCUUAGGUCGAUCGGUAUCUCACGUUUUUAAUUUAUUAAGAAUUUCAUUUCCUAAGUUUUUCUAGGUCACACCCAUUAUUUUUCCUGGGCCAUUAGCUCAGGUGGUUAGAGCGCACCCCUGAUAAGGGUGAGGUCCCUGGUUCAAGUCCAGGAUGGCCCAUAUCUCUAUGUUGGGGGUAUAGCUCAGUUGGUAGAGCGCCUGCUUUGCAAGCAGGAUGUCAGCGGUUCGAGUCCGCUUACCUCCACUGAUUACCACCUCUUCCAUAAUCUGUAGAAAGGAAAAUUUUUGAGUUGUGAUCAUUAUUCUGAACGAAUCUAGCUUCCUAAUGAAACCAUUAAGAUGCUGGACUCAUUGAAUUAAUUUCAUUGUUUUCAGAGAACCUUGACAACUGCAUAGAUUAUUUUUAAAGACAAUAAGCAUCUUUAAUGAUGCAGAUUUAUUAUUUGUGCGAAUGCAUUAAUAACAAUUCUAUUAAGCUGAUGCUUCAAUUUUUGAAGUUAUU
Molecule: transfer RNA, 539 nt
Filed under: uncultured cyanobacterium
Lineage: Bacteria; Bacillati; Cyanobacteriota
Description: partial 16S-23S ribosomal RNA intergenic spacer
Rfam family: tRNA (bases 209-281)
Source: RNAcentral